RNAcentral lists this ribosomal RNA (518 nucleotides) under uncultured bacterium. Its description in RNAcentral is "bacterial SSU rRNA". It matches the Rfam family "Bacterial small subunit ribosomal RNA", at positions 951 to 1468 of the family's 1533-position model. The record is from RNAcentral.
UCGAAGCAACGCGAAGAACCUUACCAGGUCUUGACAUCCUCUGACAAUCCUAGAGAUAGGACUUUCCCCUUCGGGGGACGGAGUGACAGGUGGUGCAUGGUUGUCGUCAGCUCGUGUCGUGAGAUGUUGGGUUAAGUCCCGCAACGAGCGCAACCCUUAUUCUUAGUUGCCAGCAUUAAGUUGGGCACUCUAAGGAGACUGCCGGUGACAAACCGGAGGAAGGUGGGGAUGACGUCAAAUCAUCAUGCCCCUUAUGACCUGGGCUACACACGUGCUACAAUGGAUGGUACAAAGGGCUGCAAAACCGCGAGGUCAAGCCAAUCCCAUAAAACCAUUCUCAGUUCGGAUUGUAGGCUGCAACUCGCCUACAUGAAGCCGGAAUCGCUAGUAAUCGUGGAUCAGCAUGCCACGGUGAAUACGUUCCCGGGUCUUGUACACACCGCCCGUCACACCACGAGAGUUUGUAACACCCGAAGCCGGUGGGGUAACCUUUUGGAGCCAGCCGUCUAAGGUGGGAC